GAUUGCAGUGUGUGUGUGCUUAAAAUAAUGUGAUAAACUUAACUUGCGUGAAGCUAUAAGCAUUUUUAAUAUAGAGGGAUGCUUUGCCUGUUGAUAAUGAUGAUAUUGUAGGAUGUUGUAAUAUUGUAACUAUGAACAUCUCUCUUCUUAGAACUGCUUUUUUGUAAACCAUUCUUGGGAGCCACGUAUGGCUGCUGAAUGGCAUAUCAAUCAAUCAAUCAAUCAAUCAAUAAUGCAUACUAUAGUGUGGAGACAGAAAUGACAAUGAAAUUGCGUGCAGAUCACGGAUUCAUUUGUCCACCCAGCAACUACACUGUCAAAGCAAAAGGAAAAUCCCACCUCAUCCGAGAAAAAUGGUGGUGAAGCCCUUGUUUGUGCUAUGCCUUGCUAAGCGUGCCACCCACCAGACGCUGCGCUGUACUGGCCUCCGUACCGGCCCACGAGGAGGGAGUACCCACCGUCCUGUUUCGUAAAGGGAGAGCCGACAAGCCACAAAAUAAGCUUCUGGGUGAUUCAGAGCCUGAGCAACGAACUCGCCCGCCCACGUCCACCUCUGCCUUCCACACUGGGUCCAAGGGGCGGUGCGAACAGCUCCCAAGGCUACCGGUGAACAAGGCUCACGUGGAGUGCAGCUGCUCUCGGAGCAGCCCUCCAUUCCACAAACACAUCGACCCACAGGAGAGUCCCCUGCACCGGCAGCCUCUUUGCCUUCAGCCCCAGCACCCCUGCCACGGCUGUGCUGCUCGAGGUAGACGGAGCUGCAACAACCUCUCGGGGCUGCCGGCUGGUUCUGCCUGCCUCAAGGAGGCCUCCCCAGGCUCGUCCCGAGGCCGCAGGACAAAGGAGGGGCCGUUUCCCCAGGGUACAGCACUGCACGAGAGCCGGCACGGCGGGCAUGCGCUGCCCGACCACUGCGCUGCCCCCGGUCUGCACUCCUCCUCUAGGCAGGCACUCGACCAGUCGCCCCAGAAUCAGGCUCCAGAGAAGCUCUGUGCAGCCGUGCAGCUGCUCGGCUGGCUGGCUGGCUCUUGGGGCAGCCACCGGGCGCGUCACUUCUGCGGCCCCGAGGGGAGUUUCGAGCGUGGGAGGCAGCAGUCCCCUUUUUUACAUAUUGGGCUUGUUGUGCAUAAAGGCUG
Molecule: long non-coding RNA, 1136 nt
Filed under: Varanus komodoensis (Komodo dragon)
Lineage: Eukaryota; Metazoa; Chordata; Lepidosauria; Squamata; Varanidae
Description: lncRNA (ENSVKKG00000003169.1)
Source: RNAcentral